RNAcentral lists this ribosomal RNA (437 nucleotides) under uncultured Polaribacter sp. RNAcentral describes it as "bacterial SSU rRNA". It matches the Rfam family "Bacterial small subunit ribosomal RNA", at positions 62 to 496 of the family's 1533-position model. Lineage: Bacteria; Pseudomonadati; Bacteroidota; Flavobacteriia; Flavobacteriales; Flavobacteriaceae. The record is from RNAcentral.
UCGAGGGGUAACAUUGUGCUUGCACAGAUGACGACCGGCGCACGGGUGCGUAACGCGUAUAGAACCUACCUUUUACAGAGGAAUAGCCUUUAGAAAUGAAGAUUAAUGCCUCAUAGUAUUGUAGACUGGCAUCAGUUUAUAAUUAAAGAUUUAUCGGUAAAAGAUGGCUAUGCGUCCUAUUAGUUAGUUGGUAAGGUAACGGCUUACCAAGACAGCGAUAGGUAGGGGUCCUGAGAGGGAGAUCCCCCACACUGGUACUGAGACACGGACCAGACUCCUACGGGAGGCAGCAGUGAGGAAUAUUGGACAAUGGAGGAGACUCUGAUCCAGCCAUGCCGCGUGUAGGAAGAAUGCCCUAUGGGUUGUAAACUACUUUUAUACAGGAAGAAACACUGGUAUGUAUACCAGCUUGACGGUACUGUAAGAAUAAGGACCGG